UACGUAGGGGGCAAGCGUUGUCCGGAUUUAUUGGGCGUAAAGAGCGUGUAGGCGGCCAUGCAGGUCAGCUGUGAAAACUCGAGGCUCAACCUCGAGACGUCGGUUGAAACCGUAUGGCUAGAGUCCGGAAGAGGAGAGUGGAAUUCCCGGUGUAGCGGUGAAAUGCGCAGAUAUCGGGAAGAACACCCGUGGCGAAGGCGGCUCUCUGGGACGGUACUGACGCUGAGACGCGAAAGCGUGGGGAGCGAACAGG
This 253-nucleotide ribosomal RNA is filed under the name Gaiella sp. Its description in RNAcentral is "partial 16S ribosomal RNA". It matches the Rfam family "Bacterial small subunit ribosomal RNA", at positions 524 to 776 of the family's 1533-position model. RNAcentral also lists the same sequence under 1 other name. The record is from RNAcentral. Lineage: Bacteria; Bacillati; Actinomycetota; Thermoleophilia; Gaiellales; Gaiellaceae.